Molecule: small nucleolar RNA, 94 nt
Organism: Zingiber officinale
Lineage: Eukaryota; Viridiplantae; Streptophyta; Magnoliopsida; Zingiberales; Zingiberaceae
Product: small nucleolar RNA U31b
Exons: 1
Source: RefSeq, a predicted model, not a curated record
GAACCUGAUGAGCGUGCAAAUGUCGCCCCAGUCUUACGAUCCUUUCGUGCUUUCGAUCGGGUUAUCAAUGGUGAUUGACAUUUCUAUCUGAUUC